GACGAACGCUGGCGGCGUGCUUAGCACAUGCAAGUCGAACGGAAAGGCCCUGCUUUUGUGGGGUGCUCGAGUGGCGAACGGGUGAGUAACACGUGAGUAACCUGCCCUUGACUUUGGGAUAACUUCAGGAAACUGGGGCUAAUACCGGAUAGGAGCUCCUGCUGCAUGGUGGGGGUUGGAAAGUUUCGGCGGUUGGGGAUGGACACGCGGCUUAUCAGCUUGUUGGUGGGGUAGUGGCUUACCAAGGCUUUGACGGGUAGCCGGCCUGAGAGGGUGACCGGCCACAUUGGGGCUGAGAUACGGCCCAGACUCCUACGGGAGGCAGCAGUGGGGAAUAUUGCACAAUGGGCGGAAGCCUGAUGCAGCAACGCCGCGUGCGGGAUGACGGCCUUCGGGUUGUAAACCGCUUUCGCCUGUGACGAAGCGUGAGUGACGGUAAUGGGUAAAGAAGCACCGGCUAACUACGUG
RNAcentral lists this ribosomal RNA (468 nucleotides) under uncultured bacterium. Its description in RNAcentral is "partial 16S ribosomal RNA". It matches the Rfam family "Bacterial small subunit ribosomal RNA", at positions 28 to 507 of the family's 1533-position model. The record is from RNAcentral.